UACGAAGGGGGCGAGCGUUGUUCGGAUUUACUGGGCGUAAAGGGCGCGCAGGCGGCGAUCUUUGUCAGGCGUGAAAGCCCCGGGCUCAACCUGGGAACUGCGUUUGGGACGGGAUUGCUAGAGAUCGGGAGAGGAGAGUGGAAUUCCCAGUGUAGAGGUGAAAUUCGUAGAUAUUGGGAAGAACACCAGUGGCGAAGGCGGGUCUCUGGGCCGUUACUGACGCUGAGGAGCGAAAGCGUGGGGAGCGAACAGG
Molecule: ribosomal RNA, 253 nt
Filed under: uncultured bacterium
Lineage: Bacteria
Description: partial 16S ribosomal RNA
Rfam family: Bacterial small subunit ribosomal RNA
Source: RNAcentral